Zonotrichia leucophrys gambelii is the source of this 993-nucleotide long non-coding RNA. RefSeq lists it as uncharacterized. The transcript has 4 exons. The record is from RefSeq and is a predicted model, not a curated record. Lineage: Eukaryota; Metazoa; Chordata; Aves; Passeriformes; Passerellidae.
GAGAAUUCAAAACUGACUUCAAGAAAUUGACUUAGCAACUUGGAAAUUUUAGAUGAUUUAGCAGUAUUCAAACAAGAAGGCCUUCACAGAGAAGAAAAAUACUCCAACAUUUGUGAAACUUAUUAAGACAUUUCUAGGGGGCCUUUGAGUUGUGGAUACCUCUACUACAAUAUCAGAAGUGCUCAUAAGAGAAGAAAAGAGAUAAAAUCCUAAUAUUGAACUGAUGGAGGCAGAAGCAGGAGCUCCUUCAGAGGGAAUUCUGUCCUGAUCCAGAGUGCUCUGCCUCUUAGUAGCAGUGAAGCUUCUCCUAUUUGUUGCCAAGUUUGGUGAAAACAGCAUGCAUUGAAUAGGAGCACCACUCAUUUCACAGGGGCUGGAGAUCAAACAGAUUUUUCAGUCUCCAUUCCACAACUUUUGUCAUUCACUGCAGCAUCAAUUGGCGUGUGCUCCACAAGUUCAGCAGCCAUCCUGCCCAGUCUCUUAGUGCUGCAACCAAGCUUCCAAAUGGACUCAACUGCAUCACUUUCCUCUAGAUGAGAGUUCCAUCAGCUGCUUCUCUGUGGUGUCAAGAGUCCCAACAGCCCUGCUGGGGCCUCCAAGAAAUCAGUUGGAUGCCAUGAAUCCGUUGAGGCAUCCAUCCAACAAAAUGCUAUAUGUCAUGUGUACUGUGAAAUACAAAAAACCCAUGGUGCACCUUUGAAGUCAGAGUAUCAGGGGAAAUAAUUUAGGAUUUAGGGAGAAGGAUGAGCAGGGCCACAAAGUUUGACAGCUGUCCAAAUUCAUAUGAGUUUAACAUGGAGCUCUCUGCCAAAGGUAACAGCUCACAUGCUCUAACAGUGAACAGUCAGACACAUAAAUAUUAACACAUAACUGAAUUAAUUUAACCAGCCAACAGCACAGAAUAACCAAACAGGGAGACCAGAUUUCCCUUAAAAACUGGUAAACUGAAGAAACUCCAAAGACUCUUCUCUACCUAAAAAUUGCUGUAUUGUA